UACGUAGGGGGCAAGCGUUGUCCGGAAUUAUUGGGCGUAAAGAGCGUGUAGGCGGUCCGGUAAGUCGGCUGUGAAAGUCCAGGGCUCAACCCUGGGAUGCCGGUCGAUACUGCCGGACUAGAGUUCGGAAGAGGCGAGUGGAAUUCCCGGUGUAGCGGUGAAAUGCGCAGAUAUCGGGAGGAACACCUAUGGCGAAGGCAGCUCGCUGGGACGUUACUGACGCUGAGAAGCGAAAGCAUGGGGAGCGAACAGG
This 253-nucleotide ribosomal RNA is filed under the name uncultured bacterium. RNAcentral describes it as "partial 16S ribosomal RNA". It matches the Rfam family "Bacterial small subunit ribosomal RNA", at positions 524 to 776 of the family's 1533-position model. The record is from RNAcentral.